UGAGGAACAUGACCUUCGGCGGGGAUAGCCGGCCCAACGGCCGGGUAAUACCGCGUACGACCACAUGGGGACAUCCCUGAGUGGUGAAAGCAGCAAUGCGCCGAUGGAGUGCCUCGCGGCCUAUCAGCUAGUUGGUGAGGUAACGGCUCACCAAGCAACGACGGGUAGCUGGUCUGGAGAGGAUGGCCAGCCACAUUGGGACUGAGACACGGCCCAGACCUGUACCGGGGAGG
Molecule: ribosomal RNA, 233 nt
Filed under: uncultured bacterium
Lineage: Bacteria
Description: partial 16S ribosomal RNA
Rfam family: Bacterial small subunit ribosomal RNA
Source: RNAcentral